GAAGCGCGUCAUUUUAACGGCGACAGCGACGCUGAGCAAAGGCUUAAAUAAGAAGCCUCCGCCGAUUUGCUAAUGAUCGUUAGCGUCGGGGCUCAGUCGCCCUGUGCAACCUUCCAACCUGAACUCAGUCACUCACCACUGCGCCCAAUUAAUAUUUCAAUUUCACACGCUCAUUUUCACCGGAUGCUGCACCGUUGAGGCCGGUUGUCUUGAAGGAGGUGGACCAAACACAGCAGGGUAACGUAAUGGAAGGAUCGGGUUUUCACCUGCCCACACACCUGACAUUACAACAACAGCGAUGACAUGAACGGUAACCGGAUGUUCGUGCCUGUCGUUGGCGGACGCAGACCGUGAUGUGAGGUGUUUAAGGAUUACCGAAGGCUGUAAAAACCCACAGACGCGUGGAAGGAAACUCCCUUUGAAUGACUCGUGUUGUUCAUGAGUCUGAGUCGAGUCUGUUAAUGUGGGACUCGAUUGUGACUCGAGCAACUUGAGUCCCCGUGUCUCAGGCCCCAUUUGAUUGAUAGGUCAUCCCAGCUACGCCAUGCAAGAAAGGCAAAUAAAAACAUGCAAUCCCUGAAGACACCCGUAAGUGCACUGCAUGUAAACACAAACACCUACUGUCCUCACAGACACUAAAAACAUGGGCAGACUAUCCACAACCAGCAUCAGGCCACCUCUCUCAAUGGAGAUAUAAGGGCCCCUGACAAAAUGGGAACAGAUGAGCGACUUGAAAACAAAUUUCUCCUGUCACAUCUUCAGCAGGCCAAGUACUGUCACACGACAGAGGCUACUAGCAUUAAACAGGUGCACUGCUCUUAAGGCAGAUCUGUGAAGAGCAGGUCUGAAGGAGGAGCCUGGCUUGAUCACAUCUUACAUACAGGAUUGAAUUCAGGUGUGAGCCCUUUCACCUACCUGCAGCAGAACCCUGGGCACUACAGCUGCUGAGGCUUAUGGGUACUAUAGUAUUUACAGGCAGAGUGAACCUGAUGCGUCGGAAACAAAGUGGAAAUGAUUCAGAACAGAAACCUGUGUGUCAUCAAUGUUCAGUAACAUCGAGGAGAUCGUUUCAAGAAAUCAAAUUAAAUGCAGAAUGAGGAGAAACGCUUCAGGAACCAAUGGCUCCUCACACCUCACUAAACACUGACGACAUCAUCAGCCCCAGCCAAUCAGCUGCACUCGUUUCCUUUGAUGAGGAAGAAGGUGCCAGCAGCCACGCCGAGCAGACCGACCGUCAGACCCAGUCCACAAAAUACCGCAGGUCCAAUGCUGGGCUGCUUCACCUCCACAUCUGGAGACAGAAACACACAGACAUUAACUUCACCUCCACAUCUGGAGACAGAAAACAGAAAGUCAGUCAGUUCUCUCUCUGAUCAGCUGUUGUCUGGUCAGUUUUCUCACCCCAGAAUCUGGUCAGUGGUUGGUUCAGAGCUGGAUGUUUCACUGAACAGCUGUACAUGUCUCCCAGCUGUGGGACGAACUCCAGUCUGGAAAUCUGGUUGAAGGAACCAUCUUUGUUAGGAUAGGGAAUGUUGAUACUCGUUCCUUCAGUCACUUCCUGUCUGUUCUUGGUCCAGUAGACUGUGACAGGAGCAGGGUAGAAACCAGUCACAUAACAGAUCAGGGUGUUGUUCUCUCCGAGCUCCACAGUAUCUCUGGUGUAGAUCAUCGGACGGGAAGGAGGAUCUGCACAGGAAGACAAAUCCUAUCAUUACUGCUAAAUAUACUGGAGUGUUUCUUUUAAUGAAGAAAGAAGUGAAAUCAUCUGCAAAAUAAACUUUGUAUUAAUACUGUGGUA
Xiphias gladius (swordfish) is the source of this 1798-nucleotide long non-coding RNA. RefSeq lists it as uncharacterized. The record is from RefSeq and is a predicted model, not a curated record. The transcript is spliced from 3 exons. Lineage: Eukaryota; Metazoa; Chordata; Actinopteri; Istiophoriformes; Xiphiidae.